CGUGUAGGCGGCUUGGUAAGUCAGAUGUGAAAGCCCUGGGCUCAACCCAGGAAGUGCAUUUGAAACUACUAGACUUGAGUACGGGAGAGGAGGGGGGAAUUCCCGGUGUAGAGGUGAAAUUCGUAGAUAUCGGGAGGAAUACCGGUGGCGAAGGCGCCCCUCUGGACCGAUACUGACGCUGAGACGCGAAAGCGUGGGGAGCAAACAG
This 208-nucleotide ribosomal RNA is filed under the name uncultured bacterium. Its description in RNAcentral is "partial 16S ribosomal RNA". It matches the Rfam family "Bacterial small subunit ribosomal RNA", at positions 568 to 775 of the family's 1533-position model. The record is from RNAcentral.